ACAAAUCCAUAUUUUAUGCCGCAAGGCGUAGAUAUAAAUUCGCUUGGCUGGCGCAAGCUGCCAAGUUGAAAGAUUGUAUAUAUUAUUAUAUAUAAAUGUAUGUGUAGUGUAGACAAGUGUGUGUAAAAACAAAAAUAAUUGA
This 142-nucleotide unclassified non-coding RNA is filed under the name uncultured Rozellomycota. Its description in RNAcentral is "uncultured Cryptomycota sequence contains ITS1". Lineage: Eukaryota; Fungi; Rozellomycota. The record is from RNAcentral.